GUGUUUCGCUGACGAGUGGCGGACGGGUGGGUACUGUCGGGGGCACGUGGGUGAGUGGGGGGGAUAACUACUGGAAACGGUGAGCUAAUACCGCAUAACGUCGCAAGACCAAAGAGGGGGACCUUCGGGCCUCUUGCCAUCGGAUGUGCCCAGAUGGGAUUAGCUAGUAGGUGGGGUAACGGCUCACCUAGGCGACGAUCCCUAGCUGGUCUGAGAGGAUGACCAGCCACACUGGAACUGAGACACGGUCCAGACUCCUACGGGAGGCAGCAGUGGGGAAUAUUGCACAAUGGGCGCAAGCCUGAUGCAGCCAUGCCGCGUGUAUGAAGAAGGCCUUCGGGUUGUAAAGUACUUUCAGCGGGGAGGAAGGGAGUAAAGUUAAUACCUUUGCUCAUUGACGUUACCCGCAGAAGAAGCACCGGCUAACUCCGUGCCAGCAGCCGCGGUAAUACGGAGGGUGCAAGCGUUAAUCGGAAUUACUGGGCGUAAAGCGCACGCAGGCGGUUUGUUAAGUCAGAUGUGAAAUCCCCGGGCUCAACCUGGGAACUGCAUCUGAUACUGGCAAGCUUGAGUCUCGUAGAGGGGGGUAGAAUUCCAGGUGUAGCGGUGAAAUGCGUAGAGAUCUGGAGGAAUACCGGUGGCGAAGGCGGCCCCCUGGACGAAGACUGACGCUCAGGUGCGAAAGCGUGGGGAGCAAACAGGAUUAGA
RNAcentral lists this ribosomal RNA (708 nucleotides) under Escherichia coli. RNAcentral describes it as "bacterial SSU rRNA". It matches the Rfam family "Bacterial small subunit ribosomal RNA", at positions 80 to 782 of the family's 1533-position model. The record is from RNAcentral. Lineage: Bacteria; Pseudomonadati; Pseudomonadota; Gammaproteobacteria; Enterobacterales; Enterobacteriaceae.